RNAcentral lists this transfer RNA (444 nucleotides) under uncultured cyanobacterium. RNAcentral's name for it is "partial contains 16S-23S ribosomal RNA intergenic spacer and 23S ribosomal RNA". The stretch from base 43 to 115 matches the Rfam family "tRNA". The record is from RNAcentral. Lineage: Bacteria; Bacillati; Cyanobacteriota.
GGUGAGGUCCCUGGUUCAAGUCCAGGAUGGCCCAUCGGGAUUGGGGGUUUAGCUCAGCUGGUAGAGCGCCUGCUUUGCAAGCAGGAUGUCAGCGGUUCGAGUCCGCUAACCUCCAUUAGUCUUGAUAAUGGAACUGUGGCGCAGGGUGACUUAGAAGGAUCUUGGUGAUUCCAGCCUCGUUUGAUUCUUGUUUCAAGUUCAAACGAUGCUGGGCUCAGCAAUGGGUUCAGCAAGAACCUUGACAACUGCAUAGGUAAGUCUGGAAAUAAAGCAUCUCACAGAGAUGAUCCAGGCAUGAAGUGAUUCACGUUACGGCGUAAUUUGCUUGAUGUUUGGUUCAACAAUUCUGGAGAAAAGCCGAGUCCUGAAUCAAUUUGAUCAGGAACAAAAUGGUCAAGCUACAGAGGGCUCACGGCGGAUACCUUGGCACACAGAGGCGAUGAA